This 481-nucleotide ribosomal RNA is filed under the name uncultured Saprospiraceae bacterium. RNAcentral describes it as "bacterial SSU rRNA". It matches the Rfam family "Bacterial small subunit ribosomal RNA", at positions 28 to 505 of the family's 1533-position model. Lineage: Bacteria; Pseudomonadati; Bacteroidota; Saprospiria; Saprospirales; Saprospiraceae. The record is from RNAcentral.
GAUGAACGCUAGCGGGAGGCUUAAUACAUGCAAGUCGAGGGGUAACGAUAGAGCUUGCUCUAGGCGACGACCGGCGCACGGGUGAGUAACGCGUACACGAUCUACCUUAUACUGGGGGACAUAUACUGGAAACGGAGUAAAUACCCCAUGGUAUUAUAGAUUUAGAUUUUUAUAAUUAAAGGUUUCGGCCGGUAUAAGAUGAGUGUGCGUCCGAUUAGAUAGUUGGUAAGGUAACGGCUUACCAAGUCGACGAUUGGUAGGGGGCGUGAGAGCGUGACCCCCCACACGGGUACUGAGACACGGACCCGACUCCUACGGGAGGCAGCAGUAAGGAAUAUUGGACAAUGGGGGCAACCCUGAUCCAGCCAUCCUGCGUGGAGGAAGACGGCCCUAUGGGUUGUAAACUUCUUUUAUAUAGGAAGAACUACAUUCAUUUAUGAGUGUUUGACGGUACUAUAUGAAUAAGCACCGGCUAACUCCG